Molecule: ribosomal RNA, 1714 nt
Filed under: Pseudomonadota bacterium
Lineage: Bacteria; Pseudomonadati; Pseudomonadota
Also listed under: 1 other name
Description: bacterial SSU rRNA
Rfam family: Eukaryotic small subunit ribosomal RNA
Source: RNAcentral
UCUGGUUGAUCUUGUCAGUAAUGAUAUUGUGUAGAUUAAGAUUAAGCCAUGCAAACACGUGCACGUGACUUUCGAAUCUUCCUGUUGCCGCUCAGUACAUCAUAAUACAAGUAGUUUUACUCACAAAUACAUGGAUCAUUGAAGAAACCCUUCCGUUCAUACAUGAGAGUGGGCCUAUGCUCACGGGCUAAUUUGACCAUCCUUAUGAGAGUCGGAACUAUAUGCAUACAUCACAGGUGUAAUCCACUACUGAUACUUUGAUCCAUUAGAAACGGACUGCGUGGUCAUGUCUAGCAGUUUCGGCCAUAGGUCACGAGGGAUCGGGGUUCGAUUUCGGAGAGGGAGCCUUCAAAAUUGCUACCAUAUCCAAGGAUUGCAGCAGGCGCGGAACUUACUCACUCCCGGUGGUGUGAUGUAGUCGAUUCAUAUUUUGCAUGUGGAUAUGAAGAUUUUAUGUGAGGAUGGUCAAUGGGUAAGAGAUACUUGUAAUGCUAGCGGGGGGGCAAAUCUGGUGCCAGCAGCCGCGGUAAUUCCUGACCCUGGGCCAUAUAUUGCAGCUGGUACGGUUAAAGCGUUCGACUGCCCCAAAGCCAUAUGAAUAUAUCAAGGGCUUAGGUCUUCGAAAUAUCAUAUCUGCAUCCAUUUUACGUUACAAUCGCGCUUAACUGCGAGAUAUGCGUGUCAAGAUGGUUCUUUCAGCAUAAAACACAUGUCUAAGAGUGAUUGUUGGCAUACGUUUCCCGACAGUAAUAUCGAACGAGUUCGUCGCAACUGCCCGUUCACUGCUAAGAUGGGUGUGUCAGAAGGCCUGUGCUGCUGCUCAUGAGAGGUGAAAUUCAAGUAUUGAGCAUGUCCAAACGGAUGCGAUGGCUUUUGCCCCCUGCACGUCGAUCGCAUAAGAAGUCCCGCCUUUUUUUCGAAGACGAUUAGAUACCAUUGUAGUUUCCGCUGUAAACAAUGCCGCUUUCGCUUAGAAUUCGCAUAUUCGUGAAUCGGCUUCUCUGCUUCGGAGAAAUUGAUGUGUUAGGUUCUUGGGGGAGUAUGGUCGCAAGACUGAAACUUAAAAGAAUUGACGGAAGAGCACUACCAGAUGUGGAGUAUGCGGCUUAAUUUGAUUCAACGCAGUUCACCAUAUCUGCAUACAAUAGGGGUCUGAUGGAUGAUUCACAGUAUGGAUCCAAAACUCUCUGAGGUGGUGCAUGGCCGUUUUCAGUUGGUGGGGUGGCCAGUCAGGUUAGUUCCGAUAACGAACGUGACUCCAACAAUUUUUAUUUCCUUGGUGCAUAUUCUUCCUGCGAAGUCGCACAGGAUGAUGAAAGUAGGACUGUUAUAGCAGAGAUAGUGGCAGCCUGGUUCUAUGACAGGUCUGGUAUGCCCCUGGACAUGCAGAGCUGCACGUGUGCUACACUUUGUCUGACAUCGAGGGUAAGAGCACUCGUAUGCACCACCUACACUUGUCAAUCCCACGCGAAAUAUCGAUCGUUGUUUGCUAUUGCCCACCGUGAAGUUGGAAUAUCUAGUAAGUGCGCGUCAUAAUCGUGUUCAGGCUUUGUCCCUGCUCUUUGUACACACCGCCCGUCGCUCCUACUGAUUGGUAGUCCCUGUGAAUAGUUGGAAAGGAAGUUUUUAAAAAUGAACGUUGCCCAUCUGUGGACUGGAACUACUAGAGGAAGGAGAAGUCGUAACAAGGUUCUUGUAGGUGAACCUGCAGGAG